AUGGCGUCCGCCGCUUGCCACGCCGUGGACUGCCGGUUUCUCCCCGCCAAGUGCCCCACCACGCCGGCCGCCGGUCUCCACGCCGUCGACUGUCACAGUCCUUCGUCGCCGGAUGUGCCCCGCGAAGAGCCCCGCCCCGCGCGAGCCCUCCGCCGCCGGAUGUGCGUCGCCAAGUGCUCCGCCCCGCGCCAGCCCUUCGUCGCCGGAUCCCCGUCCAGCGUUUGCCAGCCCCCCGUCGCUGGAUCUGCGCCGUCAAGAGCCCCUCUGCACGGCACCGCAGCCGGAUCCCGGCCCCGCGGCAGUCCUCCCCCGCCGGUUGUGGCCCCGCCUGGAAUACUCCCACCCAGCAAACCUCCCGUAGCGCCGAGCCGUCUUGCUCAUCGGUGCAGCGUCCAUCGCCCAAGUGUCGGCUCUUCAGAUGUUGUCAAGAACUCCAAUGGCAUUGACAUAGCCAAGCUGAUCAAGCACUCGGCCGAGAACCGCGGGAUCAAGGGCUCCGACAAAAGGCGACGCCGUCGAUCCGACCUCGCUGCUCACGGAAGAGUGCGACAUGCUCAUCCCGGCAGCUCUGGGAGGAGUCAUAAAAAAAUUCUAGCAAAGAAGGGCGUGCUGAUCCUACCGGACAUCAUGGCCAACACCGGCGGAGUGAUGGUGAGCUGCUUCGAGUGGGUGCAGAACAUCCAGGGGUUCAUGUGGGAUGAGGAGAAGGUGAAUCGGGAGCUCAAGACAUACAUGACCCGCGCCUCAAACAUACUUCUGAAUAUUUAG
This 768-nucleotide ribosomal RNA is filed under the name Triticum aestivum (bread wheat). RNAcentral describes it as "partial small subunit ribosomal RNA". The record is from RNAcentral. Lineage: Eukaryota; Viridiplantae; Streptophyta; Magnoliopsida; Poales; Poaceae.